RNAcentral lists this long non-coding RNA (1095 nucleotides) under Elaeis guineensis (African oil palm). Its description in RNAcentral is "long non-coding RNA (EGUI_LNC046586)". Lineage: Eukaryota; Viridiplantae; Streptophyta; Magnoliopsida; Arecales; Arecaceae. The record is from RNAcentral.
UUCUGACUGUUUGAUCUCGCCCGCUCGCUUUCCUAACAAUCCGACAUGCAAAAUAGCACCCAAUCAGCACCCUCAACCGUCAGAUCGUGCCUUUUCGUGCGUGGACCGUGCAUUGACAAUGCGAAACAAUCCGUGGACCGUGCGAAAUGCCUGGGUGCGUUUCUACACUGUGGACCAUGCAUGCACUGCGCGCCUCAUGCGCGGGCAUGCCCUAGAACGCACGGUGGACCGCGCAGUGGUCCAUGCAUCUCGAGCCAUGCACUGUAGGCCUGGGGCCUGCAGGCCUGUGCACGGCUAUUCGCUGCGCCUGUGGGUCACCUUCGUCUUGGGCUUCGCUGCUAUGGAUUUUUCUGUCGUGGAUCGAAUUUUGAGGCAUCAAAACUCAACAGAACCCAUGUGUGGUUGUGCAUAAAUCUAGUAAUGGACUAAGCUAUCUCAAUAAUCUAUUUCACACUAAAGAUUUUUCUGAUGUCCAUCGAUCUAUGAAGUAUGCAGCAUAUGGAGUCCAAAAAAAUAUGGUCAUCCAAUCAUCAAAAUAUCCCUGAUAACCUGAUGUUAUGUCCCCUUAUCUGUGAUCACCUGCAUAACAUGCUGCUCCCCUAUUUGAUCUACAACUUCAUCAAACUAAGGAUAUAAUGGGCAUCUUGCAUGUGAUCUAAAGCAUCAACUAACUACUGGAAAAAUAUUGUCAUAUCAUAAUAUGUCAAGAAAUUAUUAUGCUCUAUCUGCUGAAACCUAUCCAACCAACACACAUCCAAAUCAAUCCAUAGGUAUCCCACUUGCUUUAGUAGAAGGCUAUCUAUUUCUCUAACUCCUUAUCCAUACAUAAUACAAAUUGUUCAUAAUUUUUGUAAUUAUUUUAAAUAUUUUUAAUUAAUUUUUUAAUUAAUAAAUUAAUUAACUAUAAAAUAUCUGAAAAAAUAGUUUUAAUUUGGACUAGUAUAGCAUCCUACCAGCAUUGAUGCAUAUAUUUUUCUCAACACAUAGAUAUGCACUAAUCGCCACUUAUUUUAAAACUUAUUUAAAUUUGGGCUUAGGUUGCUACACUAAUGACUAAUGAGCAUGCCCAAAUUUAAAGAAAUUGCCAUCAAGUUG